RNAcentral lists this long non-coding RNA (1613 nucleotides) under Androctonus crassicauda. The record is from RNAcentral. Lineage: Eukaryota; Metazoa; Arthropoda; Arachnida; Scorpiones; Buthidae.
ACUGAAUAUAUGACAGUGCUAUGAAGAAUGGCACUUUAUAUUUGAACUUCUAAAAUGAAUCGAAUUAUAAAUCGACUGUUUAGUGAUUCUGACAGUUCUGCCAUUUUAUCAAACUUUGAGUAGAUUUAGAAUACAUUUUCUGAUGAAUCAUUUGAUUUUUUGUAAUAGUUAUAUUUGUUAUGAUUGACCUUUGAAACAAAAAAUUAUUCUAUAUAAACAAAAUAUAAUAAAAUAUCAUAUUCCCCUGAUGAUUGUACACACUGUGUAGGAAACGCAGCAUAAAAUUUCAGUUAAAAUAAUUUAUAUAUUCCGCUAUUUAAUAACAUUUCACUUAAAAAUUACUGAAAAUUUAUUUCAUAUCUGCAUAAUUGCGCCUUUAUUAUCAAAUAAAAUAUAUUGAUUGAUUGCAUUUCCAGAUUAUAUCCGUAUCCUUAAUAAAUAUGACAAUUUUCAAUAUUUCUGGUAUUAAAGGCCGUAUAACAUAGCAAUUGCCAUCUUGAAAGAUGCGGUUCGAUUCCAGGGUCUCACACCUUUAGAGUUUCAAAAGGAAUCCGGCCAGACUCAUUGAAUCUCAUCUUCCAUCUGACGGUUGAUCCUAUCAGGAGGUGAACGGCCGAUGAUGGGCACUGGAAUGUCCUAUCGCUUAGCACUUGCUGGUGAAAAGCAAUGUUUAACUUCACAUAAAAAAUCGGUAUCAAACUUAGUCGCCGGGAUGAUCGUGGAUGUAUGGUAGUUCCAUGUCUUACACCUUUAUUUUUCAGGAGAGGUCUGGAUUUAGCCCUUUGAUUCCGUCCUUAACUUGAUACCCAACCUUCCCUGAGUAAAGCCCUGUCUUUUUACAGGGCUGGUCUGAAGCCAAUCUUUGCCAGGCUACAGAAAAACAGUUGCAGUUCAGUAUCCAAGAGAAUGGAAAAAACACGUGAGACAGAGAUGUAAAAUAUCAUUUUAUAUCAAAUGACUAUAUUUUAUUUCCUUUUCCUUAAUUGUCAUAUUGAUAAAUCUCCCUCUUGUCAAUCGUGCAUUACAUUAUUUUUGCCCAUUAUAUUAAUAAUAUAUGUAACAAACAGCAUCAAAAAUUAAUAUGUAUAAAAUUUUAUUAUUUCCAUUAAAUUUUCAAAGAACAUUUUUUUUGUUCCAGAUAAAUGAUCAAAAUUGUAUGUCUAAAAUAAUUUUUUAUUUGUCUACUUUAAAUCUUGUAAACAUUAUAAGUAGCAUAAAUAUAAUCAAUAAAUUGGAUUGGCUGCAUGGAAAUAUUUUAGCUUUCCAUCCGGAGUAUCCUAGAUAGAAUCCGGAUUUCAUAUUUAAAAUUUUAAAAGGUUUGGGACACUCAAUAAUUCCUGUGUUCCAUUAGGCUGACCCUUCCACGGAUAGACAACCUGUGAUGUAGUUUGUAAUAUUUCCACCAUUCACUAAUUGCAGAACGAUGUGAAAGUCUACAUUAAAAAUGAAGGCUUGUCAUUUUUUGAAACUACUUUCACAUAUUAAUUUUUGAAAGUUGAAGGAUGAUGUUCAUCGGUCAAAUCCUAUAAGAUUUAUCUGUUGAACCCAUCCUUCAACCUUCCGGUUGACCCCAUCAUGGAUGCUGGUUAGCUUGUAGGUGCUCUAAAAAUGGC